Molecule: ribosomal RNA, 448 nt
Filed under: uncultured bacterium
Lineage: Bacteria
Description: bacterial SSU rRNA
Rfam family: Bacterial small subunit ribosomal RNA
Source: RNAcentral
UGGGGAAUUGUUCACAAUGGGCGCAAGCCUGAUGACGCAACGCCGCGUGGAGGAUGAAGGUCUUCGGAUUGUAAACUCCUGUUGCCCGGGACGAAAAGCUUCGACCUAAUACGUCGAAGUCUGACGGUACCGGGUGAGGAAGCCCCGGCUAACUCUGUGCCAGCAGCCGCGGUAAUACAGAGGGGGCAAGCGUUGUUCGGAAUUACUGGGCGUAAAGGGCGCGUAGGCGGCCUUCUAAGUCAGACGUGAAAUCCCCGGGCUCAACCCGGGAACUGCGUCUGAUACUGGAAGGCUUGAAUCCGGGAGAGGGAUGUGGAAUUCCAGGUGUAGCGGUGAAAUGCGUAGAUAUCUGGAGGAACACCGGUGGCGAAGGCGGCAUCCUGGACCGGUAUUGACGCUGAGGCGCGAAAGCCAGGGGAGCAAACGGGAUUAGAUACCCCUGUAGUCC